GCCUGGGUGGCUCAGUCAGUUGAGCAUCUGACUUCAGCUCAGGUCAUGAUCUCACCAUUUGUGGGUUCAAGUCCACAACAGGCU
RNAcentral lists this transfer RNA (84 nucleotides) under Felis catus (domestic cat). It matches the Rfam family "tRNA". From Rfam's summary of the family: Transfer RNA (tRNA) molecules are approximately 80 nucleotides in length. The record is from Rfam by way of RNAcentral. RNAcentral also lists the same sequence under 1 other name. Lineage: Eukaryota; Metazoa; Chordata; Mammalia; Carnivora; Felidae.